Long non-coding RNA from Balaenoptera acutorostrata (minke whale), 4081 nucleotides. RefSeq lists it as uncharacterized. NCBI's taxonomy places the organism in Eukaryota, Metazoa, Chordata, Mammalia, Artiodactyla, Balaenopteridae. The transcript has 3 exons. The record is from RefSeq and is a predicted model, not a curated record.
AAAUGUCCAGAUAGCCAUUGGCUACCAGGGCAUCCCCUCUGAAGAGAGAGCUGCCUGGAAACAAGGUGCGGGGGUCAGCCCCACAUGGGGAGGCUGAGCUCCCUCAGGGACAGUGUCAGAAUGGAAAGAGAAGUGGGCCCAGCCCAAGGCUCUGGUGACUUUUUAAAGGUAGGAAGAGAAGGGCACAAAGGAAGCUGAGGAAGGGCUCGCCCAAAGCUGUAAGGAGACACCAGGGCCUGCGGUGCCAGGAGCGAUUCAAUAAGGAGAGCGAUGCCCAGCGUCCGAAGCUGAGGGAGAGAGUGCAGAUGACCGAGAGGCGGCGGUGGUGGAAGCAGAUCGACCUCCAGCCCAGCGCCAGCCACCUCAAUUUCCUCCAGAUGAUAAAGUGGCUCUGAUGAUAAGAGGUGAUCCUGAGGCAGAAAACCUCCAGCUCAGGAUUGAGCUGCAGGCCACUGACUGCAUCACUCCCAGCUCUCUACUGCAUUGGAAGAAGGCCCAGUGACGGAGGUGGUCGGCUCAGGCCCCCGCCCUGGGAUGGGGCGGCGAAAGGCGGGAAAUGAACUAGAUGCUCUUGGCCCUUCUCAGAUGCAGACUUCAUCCUUGGCCUGGUUCUUCCCAGCUGCAGCCAUUUCCCAGCCCCUCCCCAGCACGCAUCGUCUCCACCCCUCUCAAUCCCUCCCCUCGGCGGCCUGGCGAAUCCAGAUAAAGGACUCCGGCGGGCCGCGGCCAGUAACCCCACCCGUCCAGACGCGGCUGCCUGAGGGAAGGAGGGGAGGGCGGCGCCCCUUCCCAGCGGAGCGGCCUCGGAAGCGCGCAGGCAUCCGAAACUCGGAUCCCGAAGAUGCCCAGGCUCCACCCAAAAGCCCUUAACCAGGCUCCCGGCUCUGAAUCUGACAGCUGGGGAUCCGACAUGGCCCCCGGCCGGGCGGCGCUGAGCCCCAGUCCCCAGCCGCGGCCGUCCGCGCACGCGCACACCGUCUUGCCCGUGCGGCCAGGUCAGUUUCCCCGUCUGGGCUCCGGGCCCAGUUGCCGGAGCUUCUCGGCGCGGGGUCGGGCCAGGGCCCGGGAGCGGGCUGGCUAGAGAAGCCUGGGGACCCGCGGGCGCGCGCCACCCGAAGGCGGGUCUGGGGGGCCCUCUUGGAGCUGGGCUGAGGCCUCGCUGGAGCCCCUGGUGGCGGAUCCAGGGAAAGACUGCGAUUUUACUCCUCUCGCGCUGUGAUCCCCGCACUGCCUGGGCACUUUUUGGCAUUUUUGUGUAGUGAGAAAGCGGUGCGUGCGGUUUCAGGAUAGACCAUGGGACCAAGUCGUACUGCAGCGGCACCUUCCGUAGUCUUUGUCUUUGUCGCGGCGAGGAUGGAUCAUCUAGAGGAAGGGGAUGGGGAAUGCACGCCAUUCUCAGUCCGAAACCUGGAAAUAAUUUUUUGCAACAAUUUCCAGCCCUCCACUUCCAAUCCGUCACUAAGACCUGCGCCCUCUACCAGCUAAAUAAAUGGCCUUCAAACUUGGACUGAACUAUACCACUGGCUCUCCUGGGUCUCCAGCUUAGAAACAGAAGAUCACGGGACUUCUCCGCCUCCAUAAUCCUAAUCCUGAGGCCACCACUGUGCCAGGAAGAAGCCGGGGAUGCAGGCCCACAUAAGAGAGUGGCUCAGCGCCCAGCCAUCCCAGCUGAGCCCAGCAUCCAGUGGAUGCAGUCACCCAAGCGAACCCAGACAAGACGAGUAGAAGGACUGCCCAGCCAACCCGCAGAACUGUGUAAAAGAAUGAAUUGUCAUUUUUAAGCCACUAAGUGUGGAGUGGCUUGUUUCUCUGCAAUAAGCAACUAAAACACUUUGCAGGGUAACUUCCAAGACAAGGUCACUUCAAGGUCUUCAGGCAAGGCAGCUUGUGCUGCACAGGGGUUUACUGGAGCUGGGGGUGCUCUAAAUCAUCCAAAUCCUGCCAUAUGGCCUCUAAUUCCCUCCCUGAGAUCAGUGCCCUAAAUUUCACCUGAGAUCUAGCAGCACUGUGAUUUCAGCUGACAAACUGACAAUGUAAUUUGUUGACUGCAGCAUCAAACUCCUGUCUUGAUAAGUUAUAUAACAUAGCUUAGCUCUCCCCUCCUGUUGGGCCUCCUCUCGCCUCCCCUCUUGAGUUUGUCAUCUCUGGUUUACACCAAGACAGAAGAAUGACAUGAAAAAAAAAGGAAGUCUGAGAGCUGACCGCUUCUCAGUAGGUGUAUUUGAAGUGUCAGAACACUUUCUAAUUCUUGCUGGAACAGCCAGGUGGAUCAGCUCGUGCCCGGACAUGUGGACUCCGUGCUCCCCCCACAAAUGAAACACUCGUGGUAGGCGUGUAGGGGAGCUGAGCAGACAUGUCCAUGUCACAGAGAGAGAGGAAGAAAGGUGACAGCAAGAGGUAUGGAAGGACCAAGUCCCCCCAAGAGCACCUGGAGGGGAAAUGCGGCGCGUGCUGCCCAGAGAUGCUUCCCCAGAGCUCUGGGAGCACAGAGGCAGCUGCGCUUCUGACAGGGGCCCAGGAAGGGUCUCUGGAGAGUCGGUAACCUUUGAGACAGGCUUUGAAGGAUGAGGAGGGCUCCACUGGCAGGGGUGGGGGGAGACAUGAUACCAGCAGAAGAGGCCACAUGAGCAAAAGGAGAGGGAGGAAAGUCCAGGGGAGGGGAUAAGUCAAGCCGGGGCUGUGGGAAAAGGAGGGAAAUUGGAGCGGUGGGAGUGGCAAAACCAACUGCUCUGCUCCUGCAGAAACGUUCACUGACCUCGGGGCCUCCCCGUCAGCCGCCUCCUCCCAGCCUCUCUCAGAGCAGUUCAGCCCAGCACCUGGCAGCCAGGCCUCCCUCUAUCUCACCCCCACCCUCCCCCAGGCCCCUCGCUGUGUCCCAAGCUCCCGUGGCCCUUCCAGCGGCCGCACCUCUGUUCACGCUGGGCCUCUCUUCCAGAAUGCCUCUUCCCCUCUUUCCUACCAACCUCUAGCACCUCUUCUUCCAGGAAGUCUUCCCUGACCAUUUCAGCUCUGCCUGACCCCCAGGUUGUAUGGCAUGAUGGAAAGAAUCAGGCCUUAAAGUUGUGGAGAUCUGGGUUCAAAUCCCAGCUCUGCAGUAUGAUCUUGAUUUAUUCACCUUCUCUUAUUAAUAGUUAAUAUUUCUCGGCCACGUAUUAUUUGCCAGGUACCAUGGGUUACCUCAUUUCAUUCUCAGCACAGCUCUAUGAGGUACUUACUAUUAUCAUUCCCAUCUUACUAGUGAGGAAACUGAAGCUCAGGGAGGUUAAGUAUCUGGCCCAAGGCCACACAGCUAGGAGUGGCAGAACAGGGAUUCCAGUCUGGUCUGCCAGGCUCCAAUGCCUCUGCUGCAAAGCACCAAAGCACCCACUGGACCACUUCCUUUGAAUGAGCAUUUAUUAGGCACCUCCUAUGUGCCAGGCAUUGUGCUGGGUUUGGGGAUGUGGCCAGGGCGUGGGCAGACAAGGGCUACUCUCAAGGAGGUUUUAGCUGCGGGGACUGGAGUAAAGAUUAUAUAGAAUCCCAUUGGUUACUGACCACCUCCUAUAAACCGUGGAGCACGGAGCUCACGCGUAUCGACCACCUCUCUCCUCCGCAGCCAGCUGACCUGCGCUCCCAUACGUGCCAGGCUCUGUCACAGACCAGCUAGGUGGCCUUGGGCUGGUCACGUUAUUCUCUAAACCCCAGUUUUCUCAUCUAUAACUUGGGAUGGUAAUAGCUACCCCUGAGGGAAGCUCUAAUAAUUAAGAGCUUCCCUCAGGGGUACCCGGCAGUGCAGGGCACAUAGUCGGUGCUCAAUAAAAGUUAAUCCCCAUCUCCCCACAGUGGCACUCACAUCCAGGACCCACACAGUGCAGCAGGUCAUCAUCGCUCUGAGACUUUUAGCAAGCAGUGGUGGAAAUAACAAGGAGGUCCCUUCAAUGGCCUCCAGGUGGCAAGAAAGUUCCACACAGAGCUGUGAUGGGCCAUCAAGGGCACUGACAUGGCUGGUCCAGCCCCAGCCCAACCUUGACCUAUCCACCUCCACCACCUGCCCUUCACACCAGCAACCCCACGCCUCACUGUGAGGUGGGAGCACAGACCU